CUUUGGCUAGCCGGGUGGAGGGGAGCUGAAGAUGAUGGGGGCGCUGGCGCCUGUGAUGCUGUGGCUUCUGUGACGUUCCGGCCAGGAGACUUGCAGGAAACUUGAAGGUUCAUGCCAAGGAUGUGGGUGGGAACACGUGAGGAUCUUUUGUGUCUUGGAGGUCGAGCAGCCAACUCCCCGGGACCAAGACUUGGGGCAGGCAGCUGGCCACUCCGCAGUAGACCAGGCAGGUAGAUCUCUUGAGGUCAAGGCCAGCCUGGUCUACAGAGUGAGUUCCAGGACAGCCAUGGGAAUAAAGGCCACACCACCGCUUUGCUGACUUGGAAUUUUUGAGGACUCCUGUCUCCACCUGGGUUUAGUGUACUCAGUGACUACAGGCUCAGUGACUUCAUGCCCAGUUUAUAAAUUCUGGAAAGCCAAGACUUCCUGUGUGCUUGGAUAUACCUACCCAUUUAAUAACUGUAAACACAUCAAGUAAACAUCAGUCAGUGGCAUGUGUCAGAUGGCACCUCCAAGGAUAAAGGACUGAAGAAGGGGCCUGGGUACCAGGAAGACCUGAGAUGCUAAGGAUGGUGGUGAAGCAGGCCAAUGAGGAUCCUUAACUCACACUCUAGAGCAGGGGUGAUCAACGUUCCUCAUGCUACCUUUGAAUACACUUCCUCAUGUCAUGAUGACCCUCCCAACCAUAACAUUAUUUAGUUGCUGCUUCAAAGUAAUUUUGCUACAAUUAUGAAUCAGAAUGUAUAUAUAUGAUAUGCAGAUGGGCUUGGUGACCCCUGUGAGAGAGCUGUUCGACCCUCACAGACCAAAGCUGGUGGCAUGGGAAAUCUCAAAAAGCAAGAU
This 843-nucleotide long non-coding RNA is filed under the name Rattus norvegicus (Norway rat). RNAcentral's name for it is "long non-coding RNA NONRATT004954". The record is from RNAcentral. Lineage: Eukaryota; Metazoa; Chordata; Mammalia; Rodentia; Muridae.